AACGAACGCUGGCGGCAUGCCUAACACAUGCAAGUCGAACGAGACCUCAGUAACUAGUUGCGCUCGGGUGCGUAAAGCGUGGGACGCUGCCCUUAGGUUCGGAAUAAUACUCUUAAAGGGGUGCUAAUACCGGAAAAUGUAUUCGGAUACAACAUUUAUCGCCUUUGGGAGAGCCCGAGUUGGUUUGACCUUUGGGUAUUGGAAAAGCCUAUCAAGGCGACGCUCCCUAGCUGGUUAGAGAGGAAGCGCAGCCACACUUCGACUGUGACGCGGCCCAGACUCUUACGCGAGGCAGCAGAGGAGAAUAUUGGACAAUGGGCGAAGUCCUGAACCAGCUAUGCCGCGUGAGUGAUGAUGUCGUGAGGGUUAUGAAGCUCUUUUACCCGGGAUUAUAAUGACGGUACCGAGAGAAUAAGCUCCGGCUAACUCCGUG
Molecule: ribosomal RNA, 433 nt
Filed under: uncultured bacterium
Lineage: Bacteria
Description: partial 16S ribosomal RNA
Rfam family: Bacterial small subunit ribosomal RNA
Source: RNAcentral